GGGCGGGGUGUCUUUACUGCAGUAGAACGCUGAAGAGAGGAGCUUGCUCUUCUUGGAUGAGUUGCGAACGGGUGAGUAACGCGUAGGUAACCUGCCUUGUAGCGGGGGAUAACUAUUGGAAACGAUAGCUAAUACCGCAUAACAAUGGAUGACACAUGUCAUUUAUUUGAAAGGGGCAAUUGCUCCACUACAAGAUGGACCUGCGUUGUAUUAGCUAGUAGGUGAGGUAACGGCUCACCUAGGCGACGAUACAUAGCCGACCUGAGAGGGUGAUCGGCCACACUGGGACUGAGACACGGCCCAGACUCCUACGGGAGGCAGCAGUAGGGAAUCUUCGGCAAUGGGGGCAACCCUGACCGAGCAACGCCGCGUGAGUGAAGAAGGUUUUCGGAUCGUAAAGCUCUGUUGUAAGUCAAGAACGAGUGUGAGAGUGGAAAGUUCACACUGUGACGGUAGCUUACCAGAAAGGGACGGCUAACUACGUGCCAGCAGCCGCGGUAAUACGUAGGUCCCGAGCGUUGUCCGGAUUUAUUGGGCGUAAAGCGAGCGCAGGCGGUUUGAUAAGUCUGAAGUUAAAGGCUGUGGCUCAACCAUAGUUCGCUUUGGAAACUGUCAAACUUGAGUGCAGAAGGGGAGAGUGGAAUUCCAUGUGUAGCGGUGAAAUGCGUAGAUAUAUGGAGGAACACCGGUGGCGAAAGCGGCUCUCUGGUCUGUAACUGACGCUGAGGCUCGAAAGCGUGGGGAGCGAACAGGAUUAGAUACCCUGGUAGUCCACGCCGUAAACGAUGAGUGCUAGGUGUUGGAUCCUUUUCGGGAUUCAGUGCCGCAGCUAACGCAUUAAGCACUCCGCCUGGGGAGUACGACCGCAAGGUUGAAACUCAAAGGAAUUGACGGGGGCCCGCACAAGCGGUGGAGCAUGUGGUUUAAUUCGAAGCAACGCGAAGAACCUUACCAGGUCUUGACAUCCCGAUGCUAUUUCUAGAGAUAGAAAGUUACUUCGGUACAUCGGUGACAGGUGGUGCAUGGUUGUCGUCAGCUCGUGUCGUGAGAUGUUGGGUUAAGUCCCGCAACGAGCGCAACCCCUAUUGUUAGUUGCCAUCAUUCAGUUGGGCACUCUAGCGAGACUGCCGGUAAUAAACCGGAGGAAGGUGGGGAUGACGUCAAAUCAUCAUGCCCCUUAUGACCUGGGCUACACACGUGCUACAAUGGUUGGUACAACGAGUUGCGAGUCGGUGACGGCAAGCUAAUCUCUUAAAGCCAAUCUCAGUUCGGAUUGUAGGCUGCAACUCGCCUACAUGAAGUCGGAAUCGCUAGUAAUCGCGGAUCAGCACGCCGCGGUGAAUACGUUCCCGGGCCUUGUACACACCGCCCGUCACACCACGAGAGUUUGUAACACCCGAAGUCGGUGAGGUAACCUUUGGAGCCAGCCGCCUAAGGUCAAGAUGUU
This 1447-nucleotide ribosomal RNA is filed under the name Streptococcus salivarius. Its description in RNAcentral is "bacterial SSU rRNA". It matches the Rfam family "Bacterial small subunit ribosomal RNA". The record is from RNAcentral. Lineage: Bacteria; Bacillati; Bacillota; Bacilli; Lactobacillales; Streptococcaceae.